Molecule: ribosomal RNA, 465 nt
Filed under: Vreelandella stevensii
Lineage: Bacteria; Pseudomonadati; Pseudomonadota; Gammaproteobacteria; Oceanospirillales; Halomonadaceae
Description: partial 16S ribosomal RNA
Rfam family: Bacterial small subunit ribosomal RNA
Source: RNAcentral
CCUACGGGUGGCAGCAGUGGGGAAUAUUGGACAAUGGGCGAAAGCCUGAUCCAGCCAUGCCGCGUGUGUGAAGAAGGCCUUCGGGUUGUAAAGCACUUUCAGUGGGGAAGAAAGCCUUGGGGCUAAUACCCUCGAGGAAGGACAUCACCCACAGAAGAAGCACCGGCUAACUCCGUGCCAGCAGCCGCGGUAAUACGGAGGGUGCGAGCGUUAAUCGGAAUUACUGGGCGUAAAGCGCACGUAGGCGGUCUGAUAAGCCGGUUGUGAAAGCCCCGGGCUCAACCUGGGAACGGCAUCCGGAACUGUCAGGCUAGAGUGCAGGAGAGGAAGGUAGAAUUCCCGGUGUAGCGGUGAAAUGCGUAGAGAUCGGGAGGAAUACCAGUGGCGAAGGCGGCCUUCUGGACUGACACUGACGCUGAGGUGCGAAAGCGUGGGUAGCAAACAGGAUUAGAUACCCGGGUAGUC